This 88-nucleotide transfer RNA is filed under the name Halobacteriovoraceae bacterium. RNAcentral's name for it is "tRNA-Ser". It matches the Rfam family "tRNA". Rfam says of the family: Transfer RNA (tRNA) molecules are approximately 80 nucleotides in length. Lineage: Bacteria; Pseudomonadati; Bdellovibrionota; Bacteriovoracia; Bacteriovoracales; Halobacteriovoraceae. The record is from RNAcentral.
GGAGACGUGGGUGAGUGGUCGAAACCAGGUCCUUGCUAAGGAUCCGAACCUCCGGGUUCCGUGAGUUCGAAUCUCACCGUCUCCGCCA